Schistosoma mansoni is the source of this 45-nucleotide non-coding RNA. The record is from Rfam. Lineage: Eukaryota; Metazoa; Platyhelminthes; Trematoda; Strigeidida; Schistosomatidae.
GCCCAGCUGACGAGUCCCAAAUAGGACGAAAGGCGCGUCUUGGAU